RNAcentral lists this ribosomal RNA (436 nucleotides) under uncultured bacterium. RNAcentral describes it as "bacterial SSU rRNA". It matches the Rfam family "Bacterial small subunit ribosomal RNA", at positions 612 to 1043 of the family's 1533-position model. The record is from RNAcentral.
ACUCCGAAACGGCAUUGGAAACUACCUUGCUGGAGGGUUGGAGGGGGGACUGGAAUACUUGGUGUAGCAGUGAAAUGCGUAGAUAUCAAGUGGAACACCGGUGGCGAAGGCGAGUCCCUGGACAACACCUGACACUGAGGCACGAAAGCUAGGGGAGCAAACAGGAUUAGAUACCCUGGUAGUCCUAGCCGUAAACGGUGCGUGCUUGCUGUAAAAGGAAUCGACCCCUUUUGUGGCGGAGCUAACGCGUUAAGCACGCCGCCUGGGAAGUACGGUCGCAAGAUUAAAACUCAAAGAAAUUGACGGGGGCCUGCACAAGCGGUGGAGUAUGUGGCUCAAUUCGAUGCAACGCGAAGAACCUUACCUGGCCUUGACAUGCAUAUAGUAGAAGGGUGAAAGCCUGACGAGGUAGCAAUACCAGUAUGCACAGGUGCUG